Molecule: unclassified non-coding RNA, 398 nt
Filed under: Gallus gallus (chicken)
Lineage: Eukaryota; Metazoa; Chordata; Aves; Galliformes; Phasianidae
Description: G. domesticus expressed sequence Tag
Source: RNAcentral
CCGGCGGCGUUGUCACCGUAGUGCGGAGGGUGAGCGCGACCGUGUAACUCGCGUGUGUGAGGAUGGCAGAGCAGGAGCCAACGGCAGAGCAGCUGGCCCAAAUUGCAGCUGAGAAUGAGGAGGAUGAACACUCAGUCAACUAUAAGCCACCUGCCCAGAAGAGCAUCCAGGAGAUCCAGGAGCUGGACAAGGAUGAUGAGAGCCUGCGCAAGUACAAGGAGGCACUGCUUGGUGCUGUCACCGUGACUGCAGAUCCCAAUGCUCCAAAUGUAGUGGUGACCAAACUGACAUUGGUCUGUACUACUGCUCCUGGCCCUCUGGAGCUGGUCCUGACAGGUUGACCUGGAGAGCUAUUUGAAGCAGGCGUUCGUCCUUGAAGGGAAGGUGUUUGUAUUCCC